RNAcentral lists this long non-coding RNA (1129 nucleotides) under Vulpes vulpes (red fox). RNAcentral's name for it is "lncRNA (ENSVVUG00000010976.1)". Lineage: Eukaryota; Metazoa; Chordata; Mammalia; Carnivora; Canidae. The record is from RNAcentral.
UGAGAAGCCACACUGGGGCCUUCAACCCCGGGAAGUGGCAGAGAAUGCUAGGAAGUCUAUGAAUGGCCUCCCGGGCCGCUGCGCGCUUAUGAAGUCCUCCUUUCUCCUUGGGCUGCGAACUCCCAGGGAAGAGAAAGGAAUCUCUGUCUGGUUUCUUUCAAAGGGGGGUUUGUAGAAAAAAAAAAUAUUCAACAUUAUCCAAGGAGCAACUUACUGGCUAAUUUUCAGAGCUAAAUAUCCCAGCUGCUCCCAAACAUUUCUUUUUCAUAUUCGUCCAAAGGACCGGCGAUGGGGUCGACAUCAGAUGCAUUUUCCACUUACGCACGCUGGUUCUCUCUCUAGGGAGGUCGCCAAUGCUGAGGCCUUCCCAGAAACUAUUUUUAGGGAACAACUGCUCGGUGGUAAGAGUUCACCAGAAUAAAAUCAACUCCAGGAAGCUGGGGAGUAACUGCAAAGUGUUCUUGUUAUUUGGGGCGCCGAACUCGAAUCUCUUCAAGCUGUCCCAGACCCACGGAAGUCACCUGUCCCUCUGCAGAAAAGCAAGCAAGAGCGUGCCAAGGCCACUCGAGAGUCGUGGCCUUUAUUCGGAGGCGGUGAGUGGAAUUCUGGAAGCGAUGUCUGAGGGGGGGACGCGGCAGCCACCUCCCUUCCCUCACGUCCAGGAAGCAGGCCCGAAAAAGCUGUGCGCGCACACGUGUGAGCUUAGUAAGUCUCAGUCAUGCCACCAUUACGUCACUCAAAAUAAGACUAUACAUAGUUUCAGAGGCAGAGACGCACUCAAGUUACCUCGACAUAUGUGUGUCGGGAGCAGCGCUUCUGCUGCUGCUGGGGGGAGCCCGGGAAAAGCCAAGUGCCCUCGUGGCGGGAAGACAGCGGCCUGCGGUUGCCGUCCAGCUGCCCACUGGAGUCUGAGCCACCGCCUCCUUAUUUCUGGUCUGUCAGGGUGUUUGCUCCCUCAUGGCGCACACACUUUCUUGUCCCUUGAACGUCUCGGGUCACCAAUGGAUGCAGCCGUGCCUCUCGUCUCCCUCAAGGCACCACGUCAGCCCCCGCCUCAGUCACCGAGGGUUCCCUCAGUCCAGGGUCUGGCCGACGAGCUGACGGCCUUGUUCGGCCUAGUUCGUCUUCU